RNAcentral lists this ribosomal RNA (497 nucleotides) under uncultured bacterium. RNAcentral's name for it is "partial 16S ribosomal RNA". It matches the Rfam family "Bacterial small subunit ribosomal RNA", at positions 28 to 507 of the family's 1533-position model. The record is from RNAcentral.
GACGAACGCUGGCGGCGUGCCUAAUACAUGCAAGUUGAGCGCUGAAGGUUGGUACUUGUACCAACUGGAUGAGCAGCGAACGGGUGAGUAACGCGUGGGGAAUCUGCCUUUGAGCGGGGGACAACAUUUGGAAACGAAUGCUAAUACCGCUUAAAAACUUUAAACACAAGUUUUAAGUUUGAAAGAUGCAAUUGCAUCACUCAAAGAUGAUCCCGCGUUGUAUUAGCUAGUUGGUGAGGUAAAGGCUCACCAAGGCGAUGAUACAUAGCCGACCUGAGAGGGUGAUCGGCCACAGUGGGACUGAGACACGGCCCAAACUCCUACGGGAGGCAGCAGUAGGGAAUCUUCGGCAAUGGACGAAAGUCUGACCGAGCAACGCCGCGUGAGUGAAGAAGGUUUUCGGAUCGUAAAACUCUGUUGGUAGAGAAGAACGUUGGUGAGAGUGGAAAGCUCAUCAAGUGACGGUAACUACCCAGAAAGGGACGGCUAACUACGUG